Molecule: ribosomal RNA, 406 nt
Filed under: uncultured bacterium
Lineage: Bacteria
Description: partial 16S ribosomal RNA
Rfam family: Bacterial small subunit ribosomal RNA
Source: RNAcentral
AUUGAACGCUGGCGGCAGGCCUAACACAUGCAAGUCGAACGAGUGGCGGACGGGUGAGUAAUGUCUGGGAAACUGCCCGGUGGAGGGGGAUAACUACUGGAAACGGUCGCUAAUACCGCAUACCAUCGGAUGUGCCGAGAUGGGAUUAGCUAGUUGGUGGGGUAAAGGCUCACCUAGGCGACGAUCCCUAGCUGGUCUGAGAGGAUGACCAGCCACACUGGAACUGAGACACGGUCCAGACUCCUACGGGAGGCAGCAGUGGGGAAUAUUGCACAAUGGGCGCAAGCCUGAUGCAGCCAUGCCGCGUGUAUGAAGAAGGCCUUCGGGUUGUAAAGUACUUUCAGCGGGGAGGCGGUACUCGCAGAAGAAGCACCGGCUAACUCCGUGCCAGCAGCCGCGGUAAUAC